Molecule: long non-coding RNA, 802 nt
Organism: Tripterygium wilfordii
Lineage: Eukaryota; Viridiplantae; Streptophyta; Magnoliopsida; Celastrales; Celastraceae
Exons: 2
Source: RefSeq, a predicted model, not a curated record
AGAGAAUUUUCAUUAUUAAGUUUACACACAUAUUGUCUCUCUAAACCCAUUUUUUUAACAGUUUUUUCAUAGAAUCAAAACCAUAUGUCUCCCUCUCAUCCUCUCCUUCUCCUUUCCUCUCCCAUUCCCUUUAAUGCUUUCUUCUUAAUCUCAGAAUACGAAGAGCGUGAAAAGGGGAGACGGGUUUAGUCGAAGCAAUAGCAGGAAUACUCUUUGAUGCGUCAGUGUUAUUGUGUUACCAAGAGGGGUCGUCAUUGUAACCGUCAGCUUAGUCCUUACUCCUCUGACUCUGCCACUCCGGGAUCCGUUCGGUACAACCUAUCUUUGAUCUAGCUUUUCUUUUGUUGGUUUCUGUUUUCUAUUUGGUUAUAGUGUCAUAUUAUAUGAGAUCUAAAGCCCCUUUUAGUUAGCAAUUUUAAUUUCUGAGGUAGCAUUGCUGUAGUUGAGAGGGAUUCCAUGAAUAAUUUUUGGCUUCCUUAUUUGUUAAAGAAUGAUGGGUUUUGAGUGUAUUGGCUGUACUAUCAGUACAAUCCAUGACAGUACUUGGAGUCUGAGACACUUUUUUUGAGUAAGUAGAAAUUCAGAGAAACCAGACAUUAAUGGCAGACCAAGGUCCAAUUCCAUCUCCUACAGGAAAAAAAAUAGAAAACCCGAUUUCCAGAAAAUGAUUCUCACCCCUGUCAACCGGUUAUUUGUGAAUUUUGAAUCUUUAAUUGUAAACAAUUAUUUUUUUCCGGACGAUGAACAUAGUAUUCCACACAAUGAUGCACGAUAAGAACAAUAAAGCCUAUUUUCCCCAAAA